AUUGAACGCUGGCGGCAGGCUUAACACAUGCAAGUCGAGCGGUAACAGAGAGUAGCUUGCUACUCUGCUGACGAGCGGCGGACGGGUGAGUAAUGCCUAGGAAUCUGCCUAGUAGUGGGGGAUAACUUGCCGAAAGGUAAGCUAAUACCGCAUACGUCCUACGGGAGAAAGCAGGGGACUCUUCGGAGCCUUGCGCUAUUAGAUGAGCCUAGGUCGGAUUAGUUAGUUGGUGAGGUAAUGGCUCACCAAGACAGCGAUCCGUAACUGGUCUGAGAGGAUGAUCAGUCACACUGGAACUGAGACACGGUCCAGACUCCUACGGGAGGCAGCAGUGGGGAAUAUUGGACAAUGGGGGGAACCCUGAUCCAGCCAUGCCGCGUGUGUGAAGAAGGUCUUCGGAUUGUAAAGCACUUUAAGUUGGGAGGAAGGGCAGUUAACUAAUAUUUGACUGUUUUGACGUUACCGACAGAAUAAGCACCGGCUAACUU
This 488-nucleotide ribosomal RNA is filed under the name uncultured bacterium. RNAcentral's name for it is "bacterial SSU rRNA". It matches the Rfam family "Bacterial small subunit ribosomal RNA", at positions 30 to 503 of the family's 1533-position model. The record is from RNAcentral.